This is a long non-coding RNA of Patiria miniata (bat star), 1493 nucleotides long. RefSeq lists it as uncharacterized. The transcript is spliced from 3 exons. Lineage: Eukaryota; Metazoa; Echinodermata; Asteroidea; Valvatida; Asterinidae. The record is from RefSeq and is a predicted model, not a curated record.
CAAAAGAAACCUGUAUCUUCGGUUGUACAGGGACGAAAGGGGGACGGAGGAACUUUACUGAGAGAAGUUCAUGGACUUGAGGAAACAAAUAUGAUGAAGACUUCCAGGAGGGAAGGAGAGGCCAUUGUAAUACAAUGUAUGGACGAGUUCUUUGGUUCUCCAGAAAAUUAAGAGUCCAAGCACAGGAGCAAGACAAACCCCAUCAUCAUGGACUUUCUACACCAUCAUGGAGUGCCCACCAGGAAAGAACCACUCCACCAGUCUCCCACUUCUUAUUUCUAGCAGUGGAGGAAAGUUCAGUGUCAAAGCCUCUUCUAGUCAGCCAAAAAAACGAAGAGGAGUACUUAAUUUCUGUUUGCCAGCGUUGUUGUUUAGGAUCUCUGACAUUAGAGACUAAUUGCACAAUGAUCUUCUGAAUUCUCGGACUGGUCCUGACACUUGUCUAAAGAUCUGUUCUGCAAGGUACAGGGGUGUGAACUCUCAGCUUAAAAGCUGAUUUCAGCUUUUAUUGUUUUGGAUUUCAGCUUUUUUCCCCUCACUUGCUGUGUACAAAAGUAUAGCAGAUUUCCAAAGUUCAGCUUUUUACACCCUUUUCAGCUGUUUUCAGCUAUUUUUUAUCAGUUGUCACUCUCACCCCUUAUUGUACUUAAAAUAAAUUUAGGUGCUCAAUGUAUAGUGCUGUUUACACUAGAAAACUAUUGAAACAGGUCCAGGUCAACAUAGCUCAUGUUGCCUAGCCCGGUUGACAUUUAUAAUUACAUCAUAUAAGUGUUUGACUGUUUACAUUUAUAUGCUGGGGUAAAAUUAUAUUUCUAAUGAUUUAAUUGUCAGAAAUAGAAAAUGUUCAGGCCUCUUUUUAAGAAAAGAAUAUUCCCACUGUAUUUGCGAUGUGUGUGAAUUUACUUAAUAUUCUUGUCACUUUUUUUAAGGGAUCACAAUGAUUUCUGUCUUCAUAAGCUACAGCAAAGGAAACAUUUCCAUUUUGAAAUAUAAAUAUUUCAUUAAGUGCCUUUUUAUCUAAACAUUUGGAUUUUUUUUUUUGGGGGGGGGGGUGAUUAUACAUGCUGUUACUGUUGAACUGUUAUGUAUGUACAUAACUUGUUUUUAAAUUCUAUUGUACUAUGUAGUUCCUCAAGAUACAUCAAGAUACAUUUUUGUGUUUCGCUGACACAAUGUUUGUGCUGAACGAUUGUUAGUUCUGAUGUCCUGUGCAAUAUGAAUCUUGACUCUUUACAGUUGAACCUUCUGGCCAAAUAAACCAUCAAUAAAAAUACAAGUAUAACAAUUCUUUGCAGAAAAGGGCAGUUUAAUUCUCGAAAGACGGGGAUAGCAUUUUGUUGUAGGGAUAGAUGAUAGAUCAAACCUAAAUCUUUAAGACUUGCCAGUGUUAUUUUCUAAUAUUAUCCCGAAAAAAGUCCUUUUGUAAUGAUUGUUGUUUUUCAAGCAAUAAAAAAUUACUCACUUUUAAAUGAUGAGAGACAUUGACCAAAAAA